This 422-nucleotide ribosomal RNA is filed under the name uncultured bacterium. Its description in RNAcentral is "bacterial SSU rRNA". It matches the Rfam family "Bacterial small subunit ribosomal RNA", at positions 355 to 774 of the family's 1533-position model. The record is from RNAcentral.
UAAGGAAUAUUGGUCAAUGGACGCAAGUCUGAACCAGCCAUGCCGCGUGAAGGAUUAAGGCCCUCUGGGUUGUAAACUUCUUUUAUAGGGGACGAAAUGUGACGGUUCUCCGUCACUUGACGGUACCCUGGGAAUAAGCACCGGCUAACUCCGUGCCAGCAGCCGCGGUAAGACGAAGGAUGCAAGCGUUAUCCGGAUUCAUUGGGUCUAAAGGGUGCGUAGGCGGGCUUUUAAGUCAGUGGUGAAAUCUCUCAGCUUAACUGAGAAACUGCCAUUGAUACUGCAGGUCUAGAGUAUAGAUGACGUUGGCUGAAUAUGACAUGUAGUGGUGAAAUACUUAGAUAUGUCAUAGAACACCGAUUGCGAAGGCAGCUAACGAAACUAUAACUGACGCUGAGGCACGAAAGUGCGGGGAUCAAACA